UGUCCCUCUGCUGAUUUAUUGUUAGAUUUAGUUCUAGUUGAUUUUGUGGAAAUAUUGCCAGUUUUGGUGCUUCAGACAGUAGGCCCAGUACUAGCUCAGAGCAGCUGACAGGAAAAGAACAGACAGUCAUCUAUCAAUGCAUGGGAUUGAAUAGGCUAUGACUAUGCAUGAAACAUUU
Syngnathus acus (greater pipefish) is the source of this 178-nucleotide long non-coding RNA. RefSeq lists it as uncharacterized. The record is from RefSeq and is a predicted model, not a curated record. Lineage: Eukaryota; Metazoa; Chordata; Actinopteri; Syngnathiformes; Syngnathidae. The transcript has 2 exons.